Molecule: long non-coding RNA, 451 nt
Organism: Erinaceus europaeus (western European hedgehog)
Lineage: Eukaryota; Metazoa; Chordata; Mammalia; Eulipotyphla; Erinaceidae
Exons: 3
Source: RefSeq, a predicted model, not a curated record
CUUGCGCAGAGCUCGAGUCCCCUGCAGAACUGGAGGGUGAUAGAGGACGGCGAUUCUUUACCUUUAGGCUAUGGGAGCCUGAGGACUUUUAAACUGUAAGUAGGCUUCUUAGCCUAAUCCCUCACUCCUGAUAAUCUAGUCAUUAUGCAAAGAGACUCUCACAGCCCCACCAUUAGGCCACUGAGGUAUAGAUCUCCUGAGUUUCCUGGUUAAUUCUCUGUCCCCUGCUGUCUGCACAGGGCCACCCCCCUGCUUCUCCAGCUUCUGAGGGCAGUAACAAUGGAGACUCACAGUUGCAUUUGGUUCCUCUCUGUCCGUGAGCCAGACGUGUUUGCACUCACCAUUGAUUUGGUGGGUUCCUGAAGAUUUCUAGUCCUGUCUUAUUGUGGUCCCAGAUGAUCUCCUUUUCCGUGCAGAUUUUGUUAAUAAAGCUUUAAGAUUGAUAUCUAAA